CCUACGGGAGGCAGCAGUAGGGAAUCUUCCACAAUGGGCGAAAGCCUGAUGGAGCAACGCCGCGUGGGUGAAGAAGGUCUUCGGAUCGUAAAACCCUGUUGUUAGAGAAGAAAGUGCGUGAGAGUAACUGUUCACGUUUCGACGGUAUCUAACCAGAAAGCCACGGCUAACUACGUGCCAGCAGCCGCGGUAAUACGUAGGGAGCGAGCGUUAUCCGGAUUUAUUGGGUGUAAAGGGUGCGUAGACGGGAAUACAAGUUGGUUGUGAAAGCCCUCGGCUUAACUGAGGAACUGCAACCAAAACUA
This 305-nucleotide ribosomal RNA is filed under the name uncultured bacterium. RNAcentral's name for it is "bacterial SSU rRNA". It matches the Rfam family "Bacterial small subunit ribosomal RNA", at positions 338 to 635 of the family's 1533-position model. The record is from RNAcentral.